Molecule: ribosomal RNA, 844 nt
Filed under: uncultured Staphylococcus sp.
Lineage: Bacteria; Bacillati; Bacillota; Bacilli; Caryophanales; Staphylococcaceae
Description: bacterial SSU rRNA
Rfam family: Bacterial small subunit ribosomal RNA
Source: RNAcentral
CGGACGAGAAGCUUGCUUCUCUGAUGUUAGCGGCGGACGGGUGAGUAACACGUGGAUAACCUACCUAUAAGACUGGGAUAACUUCGGGAAACCGGAGCUAAUACCGGAUAAUAUUUUGAACCGCAUGGUUCAAAAGUGAAAGACGGUCUUGCUGUCACUUAUAGAUGGAUCCGCGCUGCAUUAGCUAGUUGGUAAGGUAACGGCUUACCAAGGCAACGAUGCAUAGCCGACCUGAGAGGGUGAUCGGCCACACUGGAACUGAGACACGGUCCAGACUCCUACGGGAGGCAGCAGUAGGGAAUCUUCCGCAAUGGGCGCAAGCCUGACGGAGCAACGCCGCGUGAGUGAUGAAGGUCUUCGGAUCGUAAAACUCUGUUAUUAGGGAAGAACAUAUGUGUAAGUAACUGUGCACAUCUUGACGGUACCUAAUCAGAAAGCCACGGCUAACUACGUGCCAGCAGCCGCGGUAAUACGUAGGUGGCAAGCGUUAUCCGGAAUUAUUGGGCGUAAAGCGCGCGUAGGCGGUUUUUUAAGUCUGAUGUGAAAGCCCACGGCUCAACCGUGGAGGGUCAUUGGAAACUGGAAAACUUGAGUGCAGAAGAGGAAAGUGGAAUUCCAUGUGUAGCGGUGAAAUGCGCAGAGAUAUGGAGGAGCACCAGUGGCGAAGGCGACUUUCUGGUCUGUAACUGACGCUGAUGUGCGAAAGCGUGGGGAUCAAACAGGAUUAGAUACCCUGGUAGUCCACGCCGUAAACGAUGAGUGCUAAGUGUUAGGGGGUUUCCGCCCCUUAGUGCUGCAGCUAACGCAUUAAGCACUCCGCCUGGGGAGUACGACCGCAAGGUUG